ACUUGCGAAGGUUGGGGGAAGCAAACAGGGAUUAGAAUACCCUGGGUAGUCCACGCCCUAAACGGAUGGGAUGCUAGUUGUUGGGAGGGCUUAGUCUCUCCAGUAAUGCAGCUAACG
Molecule: ribosomal RNA, 117 nt
Filed under: Helicobacter pylori
Lineage: Bacteria; Pseudomonadati; Campylobacterota; Epsilonproteobacteria; Campylobacterales; Helicobacteraceae
Description: partial 16S ribosomal RNA
Source: RNAcentral